Molecule: ribosomal RNA, 431 nt
Filed under: uncultured bacterium
Lineage: Bacteria
Description: partial 16S ribosomal RNA
Rfam family: Bacterial small subunit ribosomal RNA
Source: RNAcentral
AACGAACGCUGGCGGCAGGCUUAACACAUGCAAGUCGAGCGCCCCGCAAGGGGAGCGGCAGACGGGUGAGUAACGCGUGGGAACGUACCUUUUGGUUCGGAACAACUCCUGGAAACUGGAGCUAAUACCUGAUAAGCCCUCACGGGGAAAGAUUUAUCGCCGAAAGCUCGGCCCGCGUCUGAUUAGCUAGUUGGUGAGGUAACGGCUCACCAAGGCGACGAUCAGUAGCUGGUCUGAGAGGAUGAUCAGCCACACUGGGACUGAGACACGGCCCCGACUCCUACGGGAGGCAGCAGUGGGGAAUAUUGGACAAUGGGCGCAAGACUGAUCCAGCCAUGCCGCGUGAGUGAUGAAGGCAUUAGGGUUGUAAAGCUCUUUUGUCCGGGAAGAUAAUGACUGUACCGGAAGAAUAAGCCCCGGCUAACUUCGUG